CCCCUCCACCCCCUCCCCUCCUCCUCCUCUUUCUCCAAAUGGAGAGAGUUCUUUUUUUUCUUCUUCCAUCUCAUCUAUUGAAUCAAGGAGCUGCUGCGGCCGCUGCCCGCUGCACACACACAGAGCGGAGUCCCCAGGUCCCGGGAGUGAGAGAGGCGCGCUGCGCGGGGGCAGAAUGGUCCAGCGGGUCGGCGUGGAGCACAAGAAAGCAAAGUCCGGGACCGAGCAGCCACCGCGAACCCAGCAGCCAGAGCCCGAGCAGCAGCUUCAGGAGCCGCCACCGCCAGCAGCAGCAGCCGCGGGAGCAGCGGCAACGGCGGCUGCCCGGGCCCGGCAGCGCUGAGACCCGCCGGGCACCCUCCGACCCCGCGGCGGCGGCGGCUCUGCGCUUGCCCUCCGCGGCCGCUCGGGCGACUCGCGAGGCGCCGAGGGAGCCAGCGCAGCCGGCGGGAGCUGCAGGGAUUUGCUGGCGCUUUCUGCAGUGAAGGGGUCGCGGCG
This 498-nucleotide long non-coding RNA is filed under the name Marmota monax (woodchuck). Lineage: Eukaryota; Metazoa; Chordata; Mammalia; Rodentia; Sciuridae. The record is from RNAcentral.